CUUCCGCCUUCCAAGUGCUCAGAUUACAGGUGUGCACCACCAUGCCCGAUUUACUGUUGUUAGGUCUCAAACAUAAGCCUUCCUGCAUGCUAGGCAAGCACUCUGCCAAUUGAACUACAUCCCUCAUUUUCCAGAUCAAUAUCCAACAUGCCCCAGAUUAGUUUGCCAAGAAGGGCCCUAUUUUUUAUGAUUUUGUGAAUGUCCAUAUGAUUGCUGUGAAUGUCCCUUCACUUAGAGAAGCGAAUUGUGGUCUUGGAAUUCUUGGUCGUGACCACAGGGCUCUGUGAGGUCUCACAACACUGACAUUCUUCUUCAGACUCCGACAUGGAGGGGUGGGAACUGAGAGCUAAGGACAGCAGCUGCCAGGCCAAACAUGGCUGGCGUGCUGAGUUGGCGGUUUGUAGCUUGGCACCAGCUGUUUGGUCUGAGCUUCCCGUCUCGGUUGUGUCAUGGUGUAGUUUGGGCAUUACUACACCCAAACUACAAAUGAGGGUCAGUGGGCUACGGAGCCAGUGGGAAACUGUGGUUCUGGGCCUCAGUGGGCCUUGUAUGUCCCAGGCAUGUGCUUACCACUUGGCUGCCCCUCCGAGCCUCUACUUCCUGCCACCCAUUGUGGUGUCGUGUCCCUUUGUUACUCUGACACUGGCCCGCAGCUUUUCCUUUCCCUGUGCCUUCUCUUAUUUUUGGGAAGAGAGGUGAACAUUGGCUGUGUAAGACCCUGUUGUUCUGUCAUUGCUAGGGUACCUGAGUGUGAAUCCUGCUAACAAUGUGGUGGGGUCAUUUCUAGCCUCCGCCUAUUUCAGGAUCUUCUUACAGAAGAUCUUACAGAUCUGCAAAACUUCUUUGUGAUGUUGAGUCCAGGGGAGGAGAGGAAGCACCUUGGCAUCAGAAAGGGGCUCUUUUCUUGGCCAAAGAAACAAACAAAUGGAAUCCCAGCCUCAGCUAGGGAGGGGGUUGCUAGCUAAAUGUAGGCUGAAAACAGGGCCUGCAGAAACUUCCUCAAGCAUCGAACCUCUCAGCUUGAUUCAUUCUCUUCAGCUGGAUGCCACAAAUCCGACUAGCACCCUGAUUAAGAAACAGCAUGGCUGCAGUCCAGGAACAGCCCGUCCCUCACAGAUGACCCCUGACCCCAGCUGCACAGGUCACUUCCUCACUGGGUCCUUCAUCCGGGCUUAUAGGUGAGGAUGGUCGCUCAACAUGAGCACCGUGAUUAGGAGGCUAAUUGUGGCUAAGCAGUCUCCUCAGCAGUGGCCUGGUGGGACCCUUAUCUCCUGGCUUUCUCAGCUGGUACGCUUACUGGGAGUUGGAAAACCAUUUAGUUGCCUGCUGCACUGCCAGGUGUUGUGUGAGCUUUGGCUGCGUUCCCCAACCGGCCUGGAAGGUACGGAUUUCUUGAAGAGGAGUUAAAACUGCAACAGCUUUUUACCAGAGGCCAGUGCCUUGUGAGCACAUGCCGUCCCCCGGGGCCUGGACCCUGGCUUCCUCUGUAAGAUGACACUGAUAUGCUAUUUAUUCCCUCUCCUUUAUGAAUUGUUACAGGGAUCAGAUAAAAUGUGAGAUACUAAGGAUAAGUUAUUUAUAUUAGGGUUCUUGGGAAAAAGAAUACUCAAUGGGUAAUUGCUUAAUUGGGGAGCCUUGUGCCUGCCAUGUUUGAGACAAAUAGAAUAGUCAUUAGGACAUAGAGAGCUGUGUUCCAGUAAAGGCCAAGGCCUCUGGUCACAGACACUCAUAGUCCCAACAGGAAGGGAGCCAGAUAUAGUGGCACAUUUGUGCUUUAGUAAAUAAAGCUUGCCUGGCGAUCAGAGGGCACACUAGCCAGCUGUACAGACCAGGGUGUGGUGGCACACACCUUUAACCCUAGGACUCGGGAGACAGAGGCCCAUGGAUCUCUGAGUUCAAGGCUACCCUGGGCUACACAAACAAGAUGGAGCCAGAAACACCACUGCUCCAUUGCUGGGGACAAGGAGGUUGGAGAGGUCUAGAGAGCAGACUCCUGGUGCAUAAGCAGAGCACGGCAGUGGAGUCAGAGAACAACCUGGGCUCCAGCAAGCUAUUAAAGCUGGCCUCGGUCUCUGCCCACCUUGGCAGGCCCAGUAGGGAUUUCCUUAAGCAGACCCAUGCUUCCCCAGCUUUAAGGGGAAGAGCUGAUUCAGAUGCAGAAACAACAUAUCACAAACACUUCUUUUUACUUUAUUAUUGGUUGGUAGAAAGGACUUUAACACUAUAAAUAUUCAUAAACUGCAGUUCCAAGAUUAUAAAAAAGUCAAAUUUGGUCUUGGGCUUUAGAACUGACACUCAAGUCACUGUAACAGAAGCUGCUGUCCCUUCUAUCCUCAAGAAGGCACGAGGAUUGGAGCCAGAGCACUUGAAAAGCUUCAUCUUCCCCUUCCAAUGCCUUGCACAGUAACAAAAGACUCCAGGACUCAGUCACUGUCUGAGAAGGCAGCGUGUAAUGGCUUCAAAGCUGGUGAGUCCUCAGAAAGAAAGCCAUGCCCGCCGCUCCCUUUGUACCCCCCUGCCUUGCUCCAGGAUUCAUGCAGCAAUGACCACUCAGGUAGUCUCCACCACUGGGUGUUCCUGGUGAAAGCAGCAGUUUUAAUUUUGUUUUGCCAAUCUUCAUUCCAUAGGGUCUGCUUUGCCAGCGAAGGGGUGAAGUGUCUAAGGAACUCAAUAGGAAAAGCCCGUAAAUACCUCCCAUGACAAGGCCUUUCAUUUCAUGCUCCGGGGCCACAAUUUAACUGCGCUUUACCGAAGUUAUUCCAAAUAUGCUGCUUGGAAUAAAACUAUACUUUGCUUUA
This is a non-coding RNA of Myodes glareolus (Bank vole), 2798 nucleotides long. The record is from RefSeq and is a predicted model, not a curated record. NCBI's taxonomy places the organism in Eukaryota, Metazoa, Chordata, Mammalia, Rodentia, Cricetidae.